GACGAACGCUGGCGGCGUGCCUAACACAUGCAAGUCGAACGGAGAUUGCGGAGGAAGCUUAGCGAAUCUGCGAUCUUAGUGGCGGACGGGUGAGUAACGCGUGGGCAACCUACCUGUAAGAGGGGGAUAACACUGGGAAACUGGUGCUAAUACCGCAUAAGCUAACGAAGGCGCAUGCUUUUGUUAGUAAAGGUGGCCUCUGGAACAAGCUACCGCUUACAGAUGGGCCCGCGUCUGAUUAGCUAGUUGGUAGGGUAACGGCCUACCAAGGCGACGAUCAGUAGCCGGCCUGAGAGGGUGUACGGCCACACUGGAACUGAGACACGGUCCAGACUCCUACGGGAGGCAGCAGUGGGGAAUAUUGCGCAAUGGGGGAAACCCUGACGCAGCGACGCCGCGUGAGCGACGAAGGCCUUCGGGUUGUAAAGCUCUGUUCUAAGGACGAAGGACCUCUCUGUGAAUAAUGGAGAGGGGUGACGGUACCUUAGGAGAAAGCCCCGGCCUAACGUACGUGCC
This 516-nucleotide ribosomal RNA is filed under the name uncultured bacterium. Its description in RNAcentral is "bacterial SSU rRNA". It matches the Rfam family "Bacterial small subunit ribosomal RNA", at positions 28 to 509 of the family's 1533-position model. The record is from RNAcentral.